Molecule: ribosomal RNA, 467 nt
Filed under: uncultured bacterium
Lineage: Bacteria
Description: partial 16S ribosomal RNA
Rfam family: Bacterial small subunit ribosomal RNA
Source: RNAcentral
GACGAACGCUGGCGGCGUGCUUAACACAUGCAAGUCGAACGGAAAGGCCCUGCUUUUGUGGGGUGCUCGAGUGGCGAACGGGUGAGUAACACGUGAGUAACCUGCCCUUGACUUUGGGAUAACUUCAGGAAACUGGGGCUAAUACCGGAUAGGAGCUCCUGCUGCAUGGUGGGGGUUGGAAAGUUUCGGCGGUUGGGGAUGGACUCGCGGCUUAGCAGCUUGUUGGUGGGGUAGUGGCUUACCAAGGCUUUGACGGGUAGCCGGCCUGGGAGGGUGACCGGCCACAGUGGGACUGGGGUGCGGCCCAGACUCCAUCGGGAGGAAGGAGUGGGGAAUAUUGGACAAAGGGCGGAAGGCGGAAGGAGGAACGCCGGGUGCGGGAAGACGGCCUUCGGGUUGUAAACCGCUUUCGCCUGUGACGAAGCGUGAGUGAGGGUAAUGGGUAAAGAAGCACCGGCUAACUACGU